This is a long non-coding RNA of Brassica napus (rape), 1444 nucleotides long. RefSeq lists it as uncharacterized. The transcript is spliced from 2 exons. The record is from RefSeq and is a predicted model, not a curated record. Lineage: Eukaryota; Viridiplantae; Streptophyta; Magnoliopsida; Brassicales; Brassicaceae.
GAUCUAGAAAAAAAGCUUUAGUGACGUAUAUAACCUCAUAUCCCCUUAAUCAGAGACAACAAAUAUUAAGUUAUAAUUUUAAUUUAAUCUUUCAUAUACUAAAGUACCGAAUAAUCAAUUAGUAGUAGUAUUAUCUUAGCUAACAAUACUAGAUUAUUUGCAUUUAGAAUAUUCGACAUGAAUCUCUCACAAAUUAAAUACUAAUAUAACUAGUGAGAGAUAUGGUGAAAAAAAUUCCGAUGCUGUCCAUAUACUCGCAUAAAUUCAUCGAUUACAGAAAAAAAUUGACUGGCCAACCUUUCAUUAGAUAAAAAGUAAGAAGAAAAACGAAUCACUAGGAAACAAAAGAAGAAUAUGAGAGUAAUGACCCCACGACAAAGACGCUAUGGGUGUGACUGAAUAACACAACUAGCAGUAAUAUUAUUGAUGAAAAACAUUUACUCUACUUCCAGCUGAAAUUCUACCAAUCAGGGUGAAACAAAAUUUAAUAAUCUUACGCUGAUUACUAUUCAGCAAAGAGAAAAUUAUUUUGCUUUUGUUCCUCAUGGUUUUGUGGAGGAAAAGAGUUACGCUCAUUUCCACAUUUUAUUCCUUUUUACUAUUACACCCUAUGAACUUGUUAAUAAAGUGACCGGCCUUAUCAGCUACUCCACUAAAGUAUAUGCAUCUUGUGUCUAUUUAAACUAUAAAAUCUUUUCAAAAUAAUUAAACUAAGAUUCAACCAAUCAUCAUAGUUCAUAAGUUUUUGUUUGUCGUUUUAUCAUGCUCCUGAGACCUAUAAACCAAACAUUUUGUCCCAAAAAGAAGAGAUCAAACUUUCAUCUGAAAAGGAAAAAACACAGAGCCUAUGGCAUAUUCAAGUAAACGGUGUCUUCCUCUGCAAACACCAUGUUUUGUUCCAAAGACAGUAAGAUCAAACACUUUGAUGCUUCAAUAGAGUCAAGUUAAAGUUAAAGUCAAGCAAGUCACAGUUUCACAGCCUCGGCCUUUAAGAUACUCCCACAAGAACACUGUAAUACAAGAGAUUGCAGAAAAGCAUGAUGGUCAAAGACUUGAAACUACUUCACAACAUGAGCCAAUGAUGAUCAAAUGGAGCAGCUUUGCUUCCUUUUAAAUCUUUUUUUUUUCUAAGGCCUCUUGAAUAAGAACGUACAAAAAAUGGCUGUGAGAGAAGUAACAAUUUGAUUCUUCUUGUCUCUCUUUUGUAAGAACAUAAACAUGAAUGUGUCCAGCAUCAAAACAUAUAUGAAAAGAAUCUCAUAUACACAAGAAAAUGUCAUUCUUUACAGUAUAAAAAUUGAAAUAAUCUCACACCUUUCUGAUGAAAACUUAGACAAUCCCCUAAAACUCUACAAGAGAGAAACCAAUGAAGGAAGAAUCAUAACCGAAGAAUAGUGCUCCCAAAUGCACUAACCAAUGCACAAAAACCAAUUUCUAUACAAGA